GACGAACGCUGGCGGCGUGCUUAACACAUGCAAGUCGAACGGAAAGGCCCUGCUUUUGUGGGGUGCUCGAGUGGCGAACGGGGGAGUAACACGUGAGUAACCUGCCCUUGACUUUGGGAUAACUUCAGGAAACUGGGGCUAAUACCGGAUAGGAGCUCCUGCUGCAUGGUGGGGGUUGGAAAGUUUCGGCGGUUGGGGAUGGACUCGCGGCUUAUCAGCUUGUUGGUGGGGUAGUGGCUUACCAAGGCUUUGACGGGUAGCCGGCCUGGGAGGGUGACCGGCCCCAUUGGGACUGCGAUACGGCCCAGACUCCUACGGGAGGCAGCAGUGGGGAAUAUUGCACAAUGGGCGGAAGCCUGAUGCAGCAACGCCGCGUGCGGGAUGACGGCCUUCGGGUUGUAAACCGCUUUCGCCUGUGACGAAGCGUGAGUGACGGUAAUGGGUAAAGAAGCACCGGCUAACUACGUG
This 468-nucleotide ribosomal RNA is filed under the name uncultured bacterium. RNAcentral describes it as "partial 16S ribosomal RNA". It matches the Rfam family "Bacterial small subunit ribosomal RNA", at positions 28 to 507 of the family's 1533-position model. The record is from RNAcentral.